AUUGAAACACUGAUUCCCAUACAAUCACCAAAGUUAAGCAACAUCAAAACCGGUCAGUACAUAGAUGGGUGACCACUUGGGAAUACUAGGUGCUGUAAG
Non-coding RNA from Acanthosepion pharaonis, 99 nucleotides. NCBI's taxonomy places the organism in Eukaryota, Metazoa, Mollusca, Cephalopoda, Sepiida, Sepiidae. The record is from the annotation of a GenBank genome assembly.